AACGUAGGAGACGAACGUUAUCCGGAGUUACUGGGCGUAAAGGGCGUGUAGGUGGUAGUGUAAGUCUGGCGUGAAAUUUUUCGGCUUAACCGGGAAAGGUCGUCGGAUACUGCACAACUAGAGGACGGUAGAGGCGUGUGGAAUUCCGGGUGUAGUGGUGAAAUGCGUAGAGAUCCGGAGGAACACCAGUGGCGAAGGCGACACGCUGGGCCGUACCUGACACUGAUGCGCGACAGCAUGGGGAGCAAACAGG
This 253-nucleotide ribosomal RNA is filed under the name uncultured bacterium. Its description in RNAcentral is "partial 16S ribosomal RNA". It matches the Rfam family "Bacterial small subunit ribosomal RNA", at positions 524 to 776 of the family's 1533-position model. The record is from RNAcentral.